UCAGUAUUUUUUUCCGCUUUCUCUAAAACUUUCAAACCCUAGCUAUUGACUUCAGCAGCUCAUUCACCUUGUCGACCUCAUCGUUCUCCAAGCUGACCUGCGUCGAGUCCCCGCGCGACCUCCUUCUCCAACCUGACGUGCUCCAAGUCCCUGUCCGACCCAAGCCGACUGGAGCCACUUCCGACCUGACCCCGAGUCCUCGACCUCGCUCUCCAUCCCCGUGUUCCCCUGCCUCGCUCUCUGACCCCGAGUCCCCGAUCUUGUUCUCCAGACCUCGAGCUUGAGAUCUGAUCUGACCUCGAGCUUAUCAGCGGACCUGAGCUUGUCAUUCUCCAACUUGAGCCAGCUCUAGCUAGUUCUCCAACGUCUAGUCUCAGGAAGAUCCUAGAUUGAAGGUUUUCAAGAAGGAGUGGUUUGAAGGCAAGGACUGUCUUGACAUUGGCUGCAAUUCUGGGAUCAUCACUAUACAAAUCGGAGUUUACGGUUGUGAUAUUGGGUUUGUGAUCAACAAGGAGAGGGAGACGAAAUUUGAAAUUAUGUUGAAGAGAGCAGGAGAGCUACAGGUUUGGAGGGAGAGUGGGUGCUUAAGGGUAAGUUUCAUGGAUCAUUUUCUUCUGUAUCUUUUGUUUGAGUGGUUAAGAAUGACUGGAAUUUGGAAGGAUUUUUUUUUUAAUCUAUCUGAUGAAUAGUGAAAGACUGAAAGACCUGAUUUCAAUACUGAAAGACUGUUCGUUUUUUGUUCCCAAUGGCUGCAGUCACCUCCUCUUCUCUCUUGAGGAACUGUGCAGCAACAACUGUGAGAGCUUUUGUGACUGUGAAAGCCUCCAACCCCAAUUUUAGAACUUUCCUUCUUCCUCUUCACUCUCGCAGGUCCCUGUGUUGUGUUAGCACUACAAACAAUGAAGAGGCUGCUGCCAAGGUAGCUGCAGCAAAUGCCGACAGAGGAGCUCCAACAAUGUCAAUUUGUUUAUCAUCUCCACUUGCAUCUCCUUGGUCUGAUUUUUUUUUUCCUUGUGGGUAUUAAUACCUGAUUUCAAUACUGAAAGACUGUUCCUUUUUUGUUCCCAAUGGCUGCAGUCACCUCCUCUUCUCUCUUGAGUGAGAGAGAGGAGGAUGAAUUAGUUUGGGUUUCUUUUGAAUCAGAACACGAAUCCCAACAAGUCCUUCGAGGUUUAAGAUUUGGUUCAUCUACUUGUUUAUACUGUAAACCAGUGAAGCAUCUGCUGUUUCACUAGGGCAUCUUGUCCUAUUGUCAAAUCAGUAGUUUAUGUGAAUAUAUUUUUGCAAAAUCUCUUUCUCAGUUUAUAGUUAUCACUAAUUUCAUGUUAUUUUGAUAUCUUUAUUAGGUGAAGAACUUGAGAGCUGAUGAACUCAUGGAAUUUUACAAAGGAGAACAUUCCUGCAGUGUUACGUGGGCUCUGAGUUCUUUUAAUUUACCCUCAGGGAGAACAUUCCUACAAUGUUAUAAGGAAAAAAAAAAAGAGUGCAGAUAGUUUUGGCCUUUUGGGAUUCCAUCUUAACACAAAGUCAAUGAAGCAUCCAACUAUACCCAAAGUUCCAUAUCCCCCAAGAUAAGAAGAUCAAGUGCUGGUUGUCAUGGAAUUGUGAUGAGCUCCUACUCUUGUCAAAGUGAAGCUUGAAGAAGACAACAAAGAAGCUUUGCCUUAUUUGUUUCUCACAGCCAUGUUUAUUGGAUCAUUAUGAAUAAUUGAUCCAUUCCAUUUUGUAGCCAAAUUGUUUUGUAGUAGGUGAAUUGGAGUUUUAUUUUGUCCAUUUUGUAAACUGUUAAGGAUGAUGAUUUCAGAUAAAAUACCUCAAUAUUCAAAUCACUCUUGUCAACUUUUGAAAUUGCAAUUUAUAGCAGCAGCUACAUAUUUUGUGGA
Long non-coding RNA from Rosa rugosa (rugosa rose), 1883 nucleotides. RefSeq lists it as uncharacterized. The transcript is spliced from 11 exons. The record is from RefSeq and is a predicted model, not a curated record. NCBI's taxonomy places the organism in Eukaryota, Viridiplantae, Streptophyta, Magnoliopsida, Rosales, Rosaceae.